GACGAACGCUGGCGGCGUGCUUAACACAUGCAAGUCGAACGGUGAAGCGCCUUCCUUUUUGGUGGGUGUGGAUGAGUGGCGAACGGGUGAGUAACACGUGAGUAACCUGCCCCCUUCUUCUGGAUAACCGCAUGAAAGUGUGGCUAAUACGGGAUAUUCUGGGUCUGUCGCAUGAUGGGUCUGGGAAAGAUAUUGUUUCGGUGGGGGAUGGGCUCGCGGCCUAUCAGCUUGUUGGUGGGGUGAUGGCCUACCAAGGCGGUGACGGGUAGCCGGCCUGAGAGGGUGGACGGUCACACUGGGACUGAGACACGGCCCAGACUCCGACGGGAGGCAGCAGGGGGGAAUAUUGCACAAUGGGCGCAAGCCUGAUGCAGCGACGCCGCGUGAGGGAUGGAGGCCUUCGGGUUGUGAACCUCUUUCGCCAGUGAAGCAGGCCUGCCUCGUUUGUGGGUGGGUUGACGGUAGCUGGAUAAGAAGCGCCGGCUAACUACGUG
This 494-nucleotide ribosomal RNA is filed under the name uncultured bacterium. RNAcentral describes it as "partial 16S ribosomal RNA". It matches the Rfam family "Bacterial small subunit ribosomal RNA", at positions 28 to 507 of the family's 1533-position model. The record is from RNAcentral.